GACGAACGCUGGCGGCGUGCUUAACACAUGCAAGUCGAACGGAAAGGCCCUGCUUUUGUGGGGUGCUCGAGUGGCGAACGGGUGAGUAACACGUGAGUAACCUGCCCUUGACUUUUGGAUAACUUCAGGAAACUGGGGCUAAUACCGGAUAGGAGCUCCUGCUGCAUGGUGGGGGUUGGAAAGUUUCGGCGGUUGGGGAUGGACUCGCGGCUUAUCAGCUUGUUGGUGGGGUAGUGGCUUACCAAGGCUUUGACGGGUAGCCGGCCUGAGAGGGUGACCGGCCACAUUGGGACUGAGAUACGGCCCAGACUCCUACGGGAGGCAGCAGUGGGGAAUAUUGCACAAUGGGCGGAAGCCUGAUGCAGCAACGCCGCGUGCGGGAUGACGGCCUUCGGGUUGUAAACCGCCUUCGCCUGUGACGAAGCGUGAGUGACGGUAAUGGGUAAAGAAGCACCGGCUAACUACGUG
This 468-nucleotide ribosomal RNA is filed under the name uncultured bacterium. RNAcentral's name for it is "partial 16S ribosomal RNA". It matches the Rfam family "Bacterial small subunit ribosomal RNA", at positions 28 to 507 of the family's 1533-position model. The record is from RNAcentral.